GAGAUUUCAUUCGCACUAGUGAUAGCUAGUUUCCCUGGAAAGAUAUAAAAGUGUCCGGAAAAAUAUAAUUUAUAAUAUAAACUAUUAUAUAUGUAUGUAUUUUACUAAUUUUCUUGAGGAUAAGCUCAAGAAAAAGUUAAGGAUUUUUUAGUUAAAUUUGCUGUAUAGGCUUAAGAUUGGCCAUUACAAGAGUUUUUUAUAAAAUAGCAAUUUUAAUUUUAUAGAUAAAUAUAAUUAUAAACUAACUUCUUACGGGGAUAAGAACUUUAACUUAAAUAAGUUUUAUGCCUAUGCUAGAAUGAGUAUUAAAACUCAACUAUAAAAGAUCUAUCUAUAUUGUAUCUUCUCUCAAAAAAAUAAAAAAAAUAAAUUAAUUAGAAGGAACUCGGCAAAUUCAGUUGUUCCGCCUGUUUAUCAAAAACAUGGCAUCUUUGAUCAUACAAAUAUAGAGAGUCGAGCCUGCCC
This 465-nucleotide ribosomal RNA is filed under the name Semisulcospira reiniana. Its description in RNAcentral is "partial 16S ribosomal RNA". The record is from RNAcentral. Lineage: Eukaryota; Metazoa; Mollusca; Gastropoda; Semisulcospiridae.